GACGAACGCUGGCGGCGUGCUUAACACAUGCAAGUCGAACGGAAAGGCCCUGCUUUUGUGGGGUGCUCGAGUGGCGAACGGGUGAGUAACACGUGAGUAACCUGCCCUUGACUUUGGGAUAACUUCAGGAAACUGGGGCUAAUACCGGAUAGGAGCUCCUGCUGCAUGGUGGGGGUUGGAAAGUUUCGGCGGUUGGGGAUGGACUCGCGGCUUAUCAGCUUGUUGGUGGGGUAGUGGCUUACCAAGGCUUUGACGGGUAGCCGGCCUGAGAGGGUGACCGGCCACAAUGGGACUGAGAUACGGCCCAGACUCCUACGGGAGGCAGCAGUGGGGAAUAUUGCACCAUGGGCGGAAGCCUGAUGCAGCAACGCCGCGUGCGGGAUGACGGCCUUCGGGGUGUAAACCGCUUUCGGCUGUGACGAAGCGUGAGUGACGGUAAUGGGUAAAGAAGCACCGGCUAACUACGUG
This 468-nucleotide ribosomal RNA is filed under the name uncultured bacterium. RNAcentral describes it as "partial 16S ribosomal RNA". It matches the Rfam family "Bacterial small subunit ribosomal RNA", at positions 28 to 507 of the family's 1533-position model. The record is from RNAcentral.